UACGGAGGGUGCGAGCGUUGCUCGGAAUUAUUGGGCGUAAAGCGUACGCAGGCGGCUCGGUAAGUCGAGUGUGAAAUCCCGAGGCUCAACUUCGGACGUGCAUUCGAUACUGUCGAGCUUGAAUGCGGGAGAGGGAUGCAGAAUUCCAGGUGUAGCGGUGAAAUGCGUAGAUAUCUGGAGGAAUACCGGUGGCGAAGGCGGCAUCCUGGACCGGCAUUGACGCUGAGGAGCGAAAGCUAGGGGAGCAAACGGG
RNAcentral lists this ribosomal RNA (253 nucleotides) under uncultured bacterium. RNAcentral's name for it is "partial 16S ribosomal RNA". It matches the Rfam family "Bacterial small subunit ribosomal RNA", at positions 524 to 776 of the family's 1533-position model. The record is from RNAcentral.